RNAcentral lists this ribosomal RNA (159 nucleotides) under Aspergillus coremiiformis. RNAcentral's name for it is "5.8S ribosomal RNA". It matches the Rfam family "5.8S ribosomal RNA". From Rfam's summary of the family: 5.8S ribosomal RNA (5.8S rRNA) is a component of the large subunit of the eukaryotic ribosome. Lineage: Eukaryota; Fungi; Ascomycota; Eurotiomycetes; Eurotiales; Aspergillaceae. The record is from RNAcentral.
AAACUUUCAACAAUGGAUCUCUUGGUUCCGGCAUCGAUGAAGAACGCAGCGAAAUGCGAUAACUAGUGUGAAUUGCAGAAUUCCGUGAAUCAUCGAGUCUUUGAACGCACAUUGCGCCCCCUGGCAUUCCGGGGGGCAUGCCUGUCCGAGCGUCAUUGC